This 75-nucleotide transfer RNA is filed under the name Dehalococcoidia bacterium CG2_30_46_19. RNAcentral describes it as "tRNA-Asp". It matches the Rfam family "tRNA". From Rfam's summary of the family: Transfer RNA (tRNA) molecules are approximately 80 nucleotides in length. Their secondary structure includes four short double-helical elements and three loops (D, anti-codon, and T loops). Further hydrogen bonds mediate the characteristic L-shaped molecular structure. tRNAs have two regions of fundamental functional importance: the anti-codon, which is responsible for specific mRNA codon recognition, and the 3' end, to which the tRNAs corresponding amino acid is attached (by aminoacyl-tRNA synthetases). tRNAs cope with the degeneracy of the genetic code in two manners: having more than one tRNA (with a specific anti-codon) for a particular amino acid; and 'wobble' base-pairing, i.e. permitting non-standard base-pairing at the 3rd anti-codon position. RNAcentral also lists the same sequence under 1 other name. Lineage: Bacteria; Bacillati; Chloroflexota; Dehalococcoidia. The record is from RNAcentral.
GGCCCCGUGGUGUAGCGGUUUAAACAUGCCACCCUGUCACGGUGGAGAUCAGGGGUUCGAAUCCCCUCGGGGUCG